Bos taurus (domestic cattle) is the source of this 1138-nucleotide long non-coding RNA. NCBI's taxonomy places the organism in Eukaryota, Metazoa, Chordata, Mammalia, Artiodactyla, Bovidae. The record is from Ensembl.
CCCCUACUAAGUUUUCUAAAUAUUGUGUUAUUAAAUAAUGCUGAUAUCAACAUUCUUAUUAUGUGUAUAGUUGCACAAAUGUUCCCGCACACCCAUUUCUUGUCAUCUGACUUUGGUAAAAACUUAAAGACCAAUUACAUAGUCAAAUUUUCAGUCCUUUCCUUUAUGUCUUCUGAGCCUUGUUUUUUAAUACUUCAGUAACAUCUCAACUCUGAAAUUACAGAAUAAAAUGUCUUCCGUGCUUGCUUUCUUUCUGUUUUGCUUUCACUGUUGAGCUUACAGUUCACACAGCCCAGCCCCCUGCAGAAUCUCCCUUGCUCAGGUUGGCCUGGGCCUUGCAAUCUCGCGGGGAGGGCCUCUCUGCCGCGGCCUCCCGCUCUCCGCCCGCCCUGGGCCGCCUGGGCCCCUCGGCGCCGUGCUGUCCCAAGUGGUGAGUCCCCUCCGAGGCAGAGGCCCCCGGCGAGCUCGGGCGUUCGGGCGGUCGGCGCCGCUGCAGCCUGCCGGCCACGGCGCCUCGUCCCAGGGACGUUCGAACCGGUCGUCGGGCGCCCCCGGCGGCCGCUUUCAGAGCGUUCCUUUCCUUCGGCGACCUUCACAAGGGCUGCGAUUCAGCCGGGAAACCCGGCACAGAGCUCCAGAGGCCGGCAUCAUUGGUGGAGAUAACUCCGGUGUUUCGGAGACCUGGGCAUGCCUGCUCGUGCUGAAGAUUGGGCCUGCAGCACUCUGAGUUAUACCCCUUACAGACACUCCCUCUCUCCUGGGCAUCAGGCUCCCUGGUUCAGAUCAUCCAUGACCCAUUUCUCUACACUCAAGGAGUUAUCUGGCCACGUUGGCUCCAGCUCUAAUGGAGUGAGUUGAGCAGUGAUGGACCCAGAGAAGAGUGGAGAAAACAGGGCAUGAAGGAGAAAUAUAUUUUCGUGUUUGCUUAUAAGGAACUCUAGAAGGAUCUGUAAGAAACAAAAUACUACCUGUGGAGGCAGAUGGCCCUGGACACACAGGCUAAAUGAGAGAAGGAACAGAUUAAGGCAAAGUGUAUUUUCAGUAUCUUGAAUCAUGUACCUGUAUUAUAACCUCUUUGGAAUUUUCAAUAAAUUGAAUUUUUUUAAAACUUCCAAAGAAUAAAAUGCAUUUUACUGUU